Molecule: non-coding RNA, 1688 nt
Filed under: Saccharomyces cerevisiae YJM1383
Lineage: Eukaryota; Fungi; Ascomycota; Saccharomycetes; Saccharomycetales; Saccharomycetaceae
Description: 15S ribosomal RNA
Rfam family: Bacterial small subunit ribosomal RNA
Source: RNAcentral
GUAAAAAAUUUAUAAGAAUAUGAUGUUGGUUCAGAUUAAGCGCUAAAUAAGGACAUGACACAUGCGAAUCAUACGUUUAUUAUUGAUAAGAUAAUAAAUAUGUGGUGUAAACGUGAGUAAUUUUAUUAGGAAUUAAUGAACUAUAGAAUAAGCUAAAUACUUAAUAUAUUAUUAUAUAAAAAUAAUUUAUAUAAUAAAAAGGAUAUAUAUAUAAUAUAUAUUUAUCUAUAGUCAAGCCAAUAAUGGUUUAGGUAGUAGGUUUAUUAAGAGUUAAACCUAGCCAACGAUCCAUAAUCGAUAAUGAAAGUUAGAACGAUCACGUUGACUCUGAAAUAUAGUCAAUAUCUAUAAGAUACAGCAGUGAGGAAUAUUGGACAAUGAUCGAAAGAUUGAUCCAGUUACUUAUUAGGAUGAUAUAUAAAAAUAUUUUAUUUUAUUUAGUUCCGGGGCCCGGCCACGGGAGCCGGAACCCCGAAAGGAGAAAUAUUAAAUAUUUAUAAUAAUAAUAAUAAUAAUAUAUAUAUAUAAAUUGAUUAAAAAUAAAAUCCAUAAAUAAUUAAAAUAAUGAUAUUAAUUACCAUAUAUAUUUUUAUAUGGAUAUAUAUAUUAAUAAUAAUAUUAAUUUUAUUAUUAUUAAUAAUAUAUUUUAAUAGUCCUGACUAAUAUUUGUGCCAGCAGUCGCGGUAACACAAAGAGGGCGAGCGUUAAUCAUAAUGGUUUAAAGGAUCCGUAGAAUGAAUUAUAUAUUAUAAUUUAGAGUUAAUAAAAUUAAUUAAAGAAUUAUAAUAGUAAAGAUGAAAUAAUAAUAAUAAUUAUAAGACUAAUAUAUGUGAAAAUAUUAAUUAAAUAUUAACUGACAUUGAGGGAUUAAAACUAGAGUAGCGAAACGGAUUCGAUACCCGUGUAGUUCUAGUAGUAAACUAUGAAUACAAUUAUUUAUAAUAUAUAUUAUAUAUAAAUAAUAAAUGAAAAUGAAAGUAUUCCACCUGAAGAGUACGUUAGCAAUAAUGAAACUCAAAACAAUAGACGGUUACAGACUUAAGCAGUGGAGCAUGUUAUUUAAUUCGAUAAUCCACGACUAACCUUACCAUAUUUUGAAUAUUAUAAUAAUUAUUAUAAUUAUUAUAUUACAGGCGUUACAUUGUUGUCUUUAGUUCGUGCUGCAAAGUUUUAGAUUAAGUUCAUAAACGAACAAAACUCCAUAUAUAUAAUUUUAAUUAUAUAUAAUUUUAUAUUAUUUAUUAAUAUAAAGAAAGGAAUUAAGACAAAUCAUAAUGAUCCUUAUAAUAUGGGUAAUAGACGUGCUAUAAUAAAAUGAUAAUAAAAUUAUAUAAAAUAUAUUUAAUUAUAUUUAAUUAAUAAUAUAAAACAUUUUAAUUUUUAAUAUAUUUUUUUAUUAUAUAUUAAUAUGAAUUAUAAUCUGAAAUUCGAUUAUAUGAAAAAAGAAUUGCUAGUAAUACGUAAAUUAGUAUGUUACGGUGAAUAUUCUAACUGUUUCGCACUAAUCACUCAUCACGCGUUGAAACAUAUUAUUAUCUUAUUAUUUAUAUAAUAUUUUUUAAUAAAUAUUAAUAAUUAUUAAUUUAUAUUUAUUUAUAUCAGAAAUAAUAUGAAUUAAUGCGAAGUUGAAAUACAGUUACCGUAGGGGAACCUGCGGUGGGCUUAUAAAUAUCUUAAAUAUUCUUACA